GGGCCCGCACAAGCGGUGGAGCAUGUGGUUUAAUUCGUUACUAACCGAAGAACCUUACCCAGGCUUGACAUCCCCGGACAGCCCAUGAAAGUGGGUCUCCUCCCCGAAAGGGGAGGCUGGGUGACAGGUGUUGCAUGGCUGUCGUCAGCUCGUGUCGUGAGAUGUUGGGUUAAGUCCCGCAACGAGCGCAACCCUCAUCGCAUGUUGCCAGCGUAAAGUCGGGCACUCUUGCGAAACUGCCCGUGUAAGCGGGAGGAAGGUGGGGAUGACGUCAAGUCGGCAUGGCCCUUACGCCUGGGGCUACACACAUGCUACAAUGGCCGGUUACAGAGGGACGCAAGACCGCGAGGUGGAGCUAAUCCCACAAACCCGGUCCCAGUUCGGAUUGCAGUCUGCAACUCGACUGCAUGAAGUCGGAAUCGCUAGUAACCGCAGGUCAGCUAUACUGCGGUGAAUACGUUCCCGGGCCUU
RNAcentral lists this ribosomal RNA (471 nucleotides) under uncultured bacterium. Its description in RNAcentral is "bacterial SSU rRNA". It matches the Rfam family "Bacterial small subunit ribosomal RNA", at positions 917 to 1382 of the family's 1533-position model. The record is from RNAcentral.